GUUAUAUGAUCAAGUGAAUAAGCGUAUAUGGUGGAUGCCUUGGCAGUAAGAGGCGAUGAAGGACGUAGUAACUUGCGAUAAGCCUCGGGGAGCUGGUAAACAAGCUUUGAUCCGAGGAUUUCCGAAUGGGGAAACCCGGCUAUCUUUGAUAGUCACUCCUACCUGAAUACAUAGGGUAGGUAGAGCGAACCUGGAGAACUGAAACAUCUAAGUACCCAGAGGAAAAGAAAUCAACCGAGAUUCCCUUAGUAGCGGCGAGCGAACGGGGAUUAGCCCAUAAGCUAUAUUAGUUUUAACAGAACAGUCUGGAAAGUCUGGCCAUAGAGGGUGAUAGCCCCUUAUGUGAAAAAGCUUUUAUAGUGAUAUCGAGUAGGGCGGGACACGUGAAAUCCUGUUUGAAUAUGGGGGGACCAUCCUCCAAGGCUAAAUACUCCUUACUGACCGAUAGUGAACUAGUACCGUGAGGGAAAGGCGAAAAGAACCCCGGAGAGGGGAGUGAAAUAGAUCCUGAAACCGUAUACGUACAAGCAGUGGGAGCAGACUUGUUCUGUGACUGCGUACCUUUUGUAUAAUGGGUCAGCGACUUACUUCUCAGUAGCAAGGUUAACCGUUUAGGGGAGCCGUAGGGAAACCGAGUCUUAAUAGGGCGCAUAGUUGCUGGGAGUAGACCCGAAACCGAGCGAUCUAUCCAUGGUCAGGGUGAAGGUGGGGUAAAACCUACUGGAGGCCCGAACCCACUUAUGUUGAAAAAUGAGGGGAUGAACUGUGGAUAGGAGUGAAAGGCUAAUCAAGCUCGGAGAUAGCUGGUUCUCUUCGAAAGCUAUUUAGGUAGCGCCUCGUGUAUCACUCUAGGGGGUAGAGCACUGUUUCGGCUAGGGGGUCAUCCCGACUUACCAACCCGAUGCAAACUCCGAAUACCUAGAAGUGCAAUCACGGGAGACACACGGCGGGUGCUAACGUCCGUCGUGGAGAGGGAAACAACCCAGACCGCCAAUUAAGGUCCCAAAGUUAUAGUUAAGUGGGAAACGAUGUGGAAAGGCAUAGACAGCCAGGAGGUUGGCUUAGAAGCAGCCAUCCUUUAAAGAAAGCGUAAUAGCUCACUGGUCGAGUCGGUCUGCGCGGAAGAUUUAACGGGGCUAAACUAUACACCGAAAUUGCGGAUGCGAGUAAUUAGCAAUAAUUGCACGCAUGGUAGAAGAGCGUUCUGUAAGCCGUUGAAGGUGAACUGUAAGGUUUGCUGGAGGUAUCAGAAGUGCGAAUGCUGACAUGAGUAACGAUAAUGGGGGUGAAAAACCCCCACGCCGAAAGACCAAGGUUUCCUGCUCAACGCUAAUCGGAGCAGGGUGAGUCGGCCCCUAAGGCGAGGCAGAAAUGCGUAGUCGAUGGGAAGCAGGUUAAUAUUCCUGCACCACGCAAUAUUGCGAUGGGAUGACGGAGAAAGCUACACCAGCCAACUGUUGGAUAUGUUGGUUCAAGCAUGUAGGGAGAGAACUUAGGAAAAUCCGGGUUCUCACUAUCCUGAGGUGCGAUAACGAGUCCUCUUUUGGACGAAGUGGUCGAUGCUAUGCUUCCAAGAAAAGUCUCUAAGCUUCAGAUAUUGUUGUGACCGUACCCCAAACCAACACAGGUGGUCAGGGUGAGAAUCCUAAGGCGCUUGAGAGAACUCGGGUGAAGGAACUAGGCAAAAUGGCACCGUAACUUCGGGAGAAGGUGCGCCCCUUGUAUGUGAUCGAAUUUACUUCGUGAGCAGAAGGGGGCCGCAGUGAAAUGGUGGCUGCAACUGUUUACUAAAAACAUAGCACUCUGCAAACUCGUAAGAGGACGUAUAGGGUGUGACGCCUGCCCGGUGCCGGAAGGUUAAUUGAUGGGGUUAGCACUUGUGCGAAGCUCUUGAUCGAAGCCCCGGUAAACGGCGGCCGUAACUAUAACGGUCCUAAGGUAGCGAAAUUCCUUGUCGGGUAAGUUCCGACCUGCACGAAUGGCGUAAUGACGGCCACUCUGUCUCCACCCGAGACUCAGUGAAAUUGAAAUCGCUGUUAAGAUGCAGUGUACCCGCGGCUAGACGGAAAGACCCCGUGCACCUUUACUACAGCUUUGCAUUGAUCUCUGAAUCUAUCUGUGUAGGAUAGGUGUGAGGCUUUGAAACUUGGACGCUAGUUCAGGUGGAGCCAUCCUUGAAAUACCACCC
This 2188-nucleotide ribosomal RNA is filed under the name Thiotrichales bacterium. RNAcentral's name for it is "partial 23S ribosomal RNA". It matches the Rfam family "Bacterial large subunit ribosomal RNA", at positions 1 to 2205 of the family's 2925-position model. Lineage: Bacteria; Pseudomonadati; Pseudomonadota; Gammaproteobacteria; Thiotrichales. The record is from RNAcentral.